CAAGUGUGCCCUUUCCUUCUUGACUUUUUAGCAGUUCUGGGUAAAUAUUGAUUUGCCCCCAGUUUACCUUCUCCCUGACUGGCCAUUUGCAGACUCAGGAACUAGCCUCUGUAGGGACUUGAUUUUUCUGUUACUUUCUGGCCGUUUCACCACCCCCCUUCCUCCCUCCAAGUGGCAUUGUAAAACUCACAGUGACAAAGAGACAGAGUAGGGUUCUAGGCCCCUGUUCCUGGGGACUUGAAGGCGGUUUUACAUACUGGUCAGACACGGCUGGAGGCCAAGGUCAAGUUGAAAGUUGCAGUCCAGCCAGCAUGAGAACUGCCAUGCGAGCGUAGAGACACAGGCAGCAGCAAAAGGCCCAUUGCCCACAUCCCCUCACUCUUAAUUUUCUCUCUCUUUUUAAAAUUCUCGCCUCUGACUCUGUUCGGCUGCCCAGAAUUUUUUGGUGCCUUCGUGGGGUUUUUGGGGCGGUGUUUACCGACUCUUCUCUGCCUCCGCCCUGCUCAGCCAGGGCUUUGAGCCUCUUCGGUUUUCCGGCCAGACCCGGAAAAACGAAAACACAGCUUGGGGAGCCCCCACUAGCCGGCGCCUGUGCCAGCUCACCUCUGGCCAUGGCGCAGCUGCCGGUGCACACGGCGGCCAAGGCCAGCUCCACAUUCUUCCCUCCCCCUCCCACUUCACCGUAGCCCCGAACCCUGCGCGCAGAGAAAGGGUCUCAGCUCCACAGACGACUGGGUCCCUCCUCACCAAAAAUGGUGAGACAAGAUUUCAUCUGUCGGCCGAGGAGCCACAAGCAGGUACCACAAAGCCACUAGUGCACAGGGACUCAGAAAAGACGGCAGGAGCCCAAGGAAAACUCCAAUUUGAGUACAGCCCUGCCUUGUUUCCCCCAGAGAGUCCCUGAGCAAGGAGACCUCCACCCCACACACACCAUUUCAGAACAACCAGGUUCCAGACUCCCAUGAGGAGCAUCUCCCACUGCAGAGCCUUGGCCAGCCGCGCCCGGACUCCUCAGAGCUGGCGCAAACUCCGUCCUCCAAAACUCGGCUCUGGGAGGCCUAAGUGACUCCGAAGCCGGCGGCAGCCGCGGCAGCGGCCGUGGUGGUGGAAGAGCUCUUUUCCCCGACAGUGCCACUGAUCGCUCUUCACUGGAGCUGGAAACAGCCUUCGCGGAAAGGACCGGAGCAUGCGUUAGAAGCAGAGGGAGCUUGGUGAAGGGCUCGGCUGGAAGGAGGAAACGCCUUCUCGCAGUGCGCGGCCAGCCCGCGGGGGACACCGGCUUGCUGGACUGCAGGGGCCCGUGCCACCCAGGAAGUGACCUGCGGGUCACUCAGCCGGGGCGCUGGGCGAGCGCGGGACGGCCCGGAGAAUUCCGUGCGGCUGCGACGGGAAAAGGACGAGGGGUCUCUGUACCCGACGCUGCCACUGGCCCAAAGGAAUUUUACCCGCGAGCGCCCACCCCACCCUAGCUUGAUGCUUACGCCCGCAACAAAACAGGAAACCAGGACUGGGCAGUGCAUUCUUUAAGUCAACAAAUACACUGAAGACUUCGAGCGUUUGAAGGAAGGAGGGGGUUUGCACGUAAGCCUGGCCCCGCCGGGCUCGGCUUUCUCGCUGAGAAAGCGGCGCAGGCAGCCAGGCGGCCUGGGCCCGCGGGGGUCCAUCUCGCCCUAGACUCCUAAGAACUCCCACGGCCCUGUUCCCAGCUGCGAAUUCUUAAUGCACAACGCGACGGAGGGAAGGAAAUUCACCAGCGCAGCGACGAGGAAGGGGAACUCAGGACCCCUUCAAGUACACACUGAGGUGUGAUCAGAGUUUUAUGGGCACUUUAUAUGCUGUAAUCAUAACGAUGUGUGUGCCUUGAUAUGCACGCAUAUUCACGCAUCAAACGUGCAUACACACACAGAGUGAAUGUGCGCAUCCAAUGUCAUGUGGGUGAAAUACAAGCAUCAUACCCAGCCCUACGAAAAAAAAAUUCACCCUGUCGGACCAGGCUGGUGACAUACUUCGCUGGCGCAUCUCCUUACUCACUCUUACUUUUCCGACCCCUCACCAUUCCCUCUCCUGUGGCUUGGUAAAUACACCUGCCCUCCGUGGAAGGUGAGUCCUGGACUGGCGUUGCCAGGUUCGCAUGUCCUCCCCAGAACCUCCGUCUGGCUCCAGGGACUCUCACUGAGCGGGUCUAGAGCACCCAGCACUUUUCAAGGAACAGCCGCGGUUCCUUUGUCCCGCGGCUCCAGCCCCGUUCGGCCCAGCUCUCAGGGAAACGAAGCGCUCAGUAAGAACUUUUGAUAUUAGUUUGUAUGGGUAUUUACACUCUGGUGAGGGGAGCUGAGUACGGAAGUUCCAUUAAUCAUACUCCAACCUUGGGUUUAGAUAUUCAGUUUAUGGGUUGGGAGAGGGAGUUUGCCGGAAAGAAAGCAUCAAGGUUGGCCGCUGACUCCAGAGAAAUGAAAAGGGAGCAAGGUCGUUUUCUGUUUCUGGAAAUCAAGAAUUAGGAAUGGGCAACUACAGGUGCUAACCAACAGACCACUUUUUUGUUUUUUGGUAGCCCUUUGGCAGGGAUAGUUUUUCCACCUUUGCCCGAUACAAUUUAAAAAAAAAAAUCCUUUUAUUAUGGAAUUUGUCAAACACACACACAAGCAUAACAAACCCCUAGGUACCCAUCUCCAAGUUUUGACCCCUAUUAUAAUUUCAUCUUCAGUGUUUUAUUAUCCACUUCCUCUCUCUCUAUCUUUAGUAUUUUAAAGUAAAUCCCAGAUAGCAUCACAUCAUUUCACCCCCACCAUAGGAUUUCAAAGAUCUGUUAUAUUUCAAGAUUGAGUAAAAGGGCUUGAAAUUGGGUUAUUGCAAUGAAACUCUAGAAAAAGCUUGAGGGUUCACCCAGGAGUAAGCUGGACAAAAAAGGGGUUUGAGGGGUGGACCCAUCUUGCCUAAAAAUCUUGUCUCAUCUUUCUAAAAAUUACAUAUGAAAGAGGAAGAUUUAUGUUACUUUUUUAUAUGAGAGAAUCGUCCUUUAAUAGAAAAUUUCUAUUGCUGCAUCAGAAUUAUGGAGGAACACAAAAAACAUACCUCAGUCCUUAGUGUGUCCUAAAUUAACACAUAUUCACUUAUUAGUGGGUAAAUGACUAUAUUUCAUUUCAGCACAACUUCUCCCCUGGUAGAAACACAAAAGAAAUUUCUAAUGAUUAAACUAGGAAAGUUUGCACUGAAUUGAUGGCUUAUCAGAGCAACCGCAGUUUUCAGGAAGAAAUUCAAUGCCAUGCGUUGAAAAUAUCCCCCUAGCAAUAAGGGAUUAUUUUUAAAAAAGAAUGAAUAAAGAUGUUCUGGUUUCUUUUGUUUUAA
This 3345-nucleotide long non-coding RNA is filed under the name Homo sapiens (human). RNAcentral's name for it is "non-protein coding HOTTIP:7". The stretch from base 3 to 378 matches the Rfam family "HOXA transcript at the distal tip, conserved region 2". The record is from RNAcentral. Lineage: Eukaryota; Metazoa; Chordata; Mammalia; Primates; Hominidae.